RNAcentral lists this ribosomal RNA (253 nucleotides) under uncultured bacterium. Its description in RNAcentral is "partial 16S ribosomal RNA". It matches the Rfam family "Bacterial small subunit ribosomal RNA", at positions 524 to 776 of the family's 1533-position model. The record is from RNAcentral.
UACGUAGGGGGCUAGCGUUGUCCGGAAUCAUUGGGCGUAAAGAGCGUGUAGGCGGCCCGGUAAGUCCGCUGUGAAAGUCAAAGGCUCAACCUUUGAAUGUCAGCGGAUACUGCCGGGCUAGAGUCCGGAAGAGGCGAGUGGAACUCCUGGUGUAGCGGUGGAAUGCGCAGAUAUCAGGAGGAACACCGGUGGCGAAGGCGGGGUCCUGGGCCAGUACUGACGCUGAGGAGCGAAAGCGUGGGGAGCAAACAGG